CUUACCACCUCACUGGGUGACGUCACUGGCCAGAAAAUGUAAAGUUGAAUUACUUAAAACCCUUCACAGCACAAACCAUAAUGUUUACGGCACAAAGUAAGUAUUUUAAAUAAUAUUGGGGUGACAGGGCGGCCCAGCUUCACACAGGUUUCCUACCCCUGUUUUCCACCGGGCGUGCAGCGACCCCCGCAGAGCUACUGCAGCCAUUCAAGUCCAUGUUUGACAAUCCAGUCCCUCCAGAAAAAUGCUGAGUUAUUUUGUGAUUGUUGAGGGCAAAACUCCUUGAUUGUGCGGCACGUUUUCUUAAAAAAUGUGAUGGAAUAUGCGGGAUAUUCACGCGAUUUUAUGCAAUGAAAUUGUGGGAACUGGCGAAAAUUGGGGGAACUUGCAAAAAU
Sander lucioperca (pikeperch) is the source of this 395-nucleotide long non-coding RNA. RefSeq lists it as uncharacterized. The record is from RefSeq and is a predicted model, not a curated record. The transcript has 3 exons. Lineage: Eukaryota; Metazoa; Chordata; Actinopteri; Perciformes; Percidae.